AUUGAACGCUGGCGGAAUGCUUUACACAUGCAAGUCGAACGGUAGAGGGGGCAACCCCUUGAGAGUGGCGAACGGGUGAGUAAUAUAUCGGAACGUGCCCAGUCGUGGGGAUAACGUAGCGAAAGUUACGCUAAUACCGCACACGAUCUAAGGAUGAAAGCGGGGGAUCGCAAGACCUCGCGCGAUUGGAGCGGCCGAUAUCAGAUUAGGUAGUUGGUGGGGUAAAGGCUCACCAAGCCAACGAUCUGUAGCUGGUCUGAGAGGACGACCAGCCACACUGGGACUGAGACACGGCCCAGACUCCUACGGGAGGCAGCAGUGGGGAAUUUUGGACAAUGGGCGCAAGCCUGAUCCAGCAAUGCCGCGUGCAGGAUGAAGGCCUCGGUU
Molecule: ribosomal RNA, 387 nt
Filed under: uncultured bacterium
Lineage: Bacteria
Description: bacterial SSU rRNA
Rfam family: Bacterial small subunit ribosomal RNA
Source: RNAcentral